Dreissena polymorpha is the source of this 1282-nucleotide long non-coding RNA. RefSeq lists it as uncharacterized. The transcript is spliced from 3 exons. The record is from RefSeq and is a predicted model, not a curated record. NCBI's taxonomy places the organism in Eukaryota, Metazoa, Mollusca, Bivalvia, Myida, Dreissenidae.
UCCGGCUCGUGGUUACUAAUUGAAUUUUUUUUCUCAGUUUGCUGCUGUGUUUUUAUAACAAAAUAAUCACUUUUUCGUUUAUUUUAUUACCCCCUUUUUAACUCAUAUGAAAAGUUUAAUCCAAAACAGACAAAAACAAAUACCUCUGAACACAAUUUAUAAUGUAACGAAUACUAGUAAUGCAGUCACCACGAAAGCGACAAGCAGAGUCUCACCUUUCACCGGUAUCUCUUUGAAGCUGAAGGUCAGGCGCGCCUCGUUGUUGAACCCUUCAGAGUUGUUGCAGCUUAUCUCCAUGGUUACCGAGUCCAGCUCCUCGCUCAGUGACGUCAUAUCCUUGGAUCCCUUUAGACGCACCACAUACUCUGUAUCGCAGAAAUACUGAAGUACAAGUGCCCUGUAACCUGCUCUACUGGACGCCGUCACUUCGAAGUAGUCGACUUCCGGAAUGACGUCAUUGAUGUAACACGUGACGUCAUCGACCACGCGCUGUCGUGUUAUUUGAAAUUUGUGGAUGACGUCGCCAGAAGGGACCAAAGAAAUGCUUGCAGCGGAAUGCUCGGUGACGUGGUAUCUAUGGUGACGGCAUGGUUGCUAUGGAACAGGUCCACGUUGUAGAUAUUGACGUCUGUCACAAGAGCGCCGAUCUCCAACAAGUCUGUGAUAGUGUGGGAUUUGUCGUCACAAGACGGCGGGACUUCUAAAAAUAUAAAUAACUAAACUAUAUUAAUAAACCAAUUAAACUGGGCUUUGUGUUUUAAUGAUACCCUUUGCCAUUUAGCUCAAAUGUGUUUUUAGCAUGAUUGUGUUUCUUUACCACGGACAGGUACAUACUGUUGUUCUACCAUUUUUGAAGUAUGCAUCGCAAAUGCUUAUAUCGUGUUUUUCGUUUUUGUUUUUUGUGUCAUACGCAUUUGGGGAAAUAUAAAACAUCAUACGAUACAAAAUAAAAAAAUUGUAUAAAAAUAAAAACUAAUCAAACUGGCAACAACAAUAAACAAGUCUAUGUAUCGAGUUCAAAAGCAGGUGAAUGAAUAUGCAGCUUAUCUAAAUUCGCAUUUAACUACCGUAAUCUGCUAUCAAUGGCCGAAGUGAGUCGAUGUCUCUUCAUGAAUAUUUAACCCAUUUAAGAACAGGUGCGUAUUCGCGUUUCCCAAUUCUAUUGAUCGAAAAACGCGUCAGUUACGGGCAGCUGUUUAGUUUAUAAAACUGUUUUCAUCAAGGGGAAUAUUUGUUUCAAUUAAAGAUUGCUUGAUAUUUGAUAAGCAAGAAAAGAUUGCAA